AUGAAAUUUACAUUAACAAGUUUACCCUUGAACUCCACUAGUUUUGUAGGUGAUACAAAUCUUUUAUAUAAGGGUUGUAAGCUAAUCUAGCAAAGGUUGUUGCUGGAGCUUGUUCAAAAAGGUCAUUGCUCCCAAAAUCCUCUAGCUGAUUGCUUCGGUUGCAGCUGUGUUAGAUGCUGGGGUUGGUUAGGAAAAGUUGCUGCUGGAGUUCAUUCAAAAAACAGUGGUUGCUUCUGUUGUAGUGAUACAAAAUACUUCAGUCAACUGCUUCAUUCUAUCUAUACAAAAAGAGCAGUUG
RNAcentral lists this long non-coding RNA (298 nucleotides) under Rosa chinensis. RNAcentral's name for it is "sRNA RchiOBHm_Chr2g0135031". Lineage: Eukaryota; Viridiplantae; Streptophyta; Magnoliopsida; Rosales; Rosaceae. The record is from RNAcentral.